CCCUCAAAAAUGUUGUAUCAUGGUUUCCACAAAAGCAUUACGCAGUACAACUGUUUUCAACAAUAAUAAGAUAGUAACAAGAAAUGUUUCUUGAGCACCAAAUCAGCAUAUUAUUAGAAUAAUUUCUGAAGGAUCAUGUGACACUGAAAACUGGUGUAAUGACUGCUGGAGAUUCAGCUUUGCCAACACUGUAAUACAGUAAUACAUUUUUACUGUAUUUUUGAUAAAUAAUUGCAGCCUUUGUGAGCAUAAGAGAUUUUUUCAAAAAAAUAACUGACACCAAGAUUUUGAACAAUAGUGUAGAAAUAUAAAUAAAAUCUAUAAAUAUCUUGUGAGAGAGUGUGCAAAGUUACAUUUGAAUAUUGAGAAGUGCAAAUGAGAUUAGAGAGUCGGUUUUCCACCUUAUAUUUCAAUCUGUUCCUCACACAAGUCAUACAGGUUUGGAAUGGCAAGAAGGUGGGUAAAUAAUGACAGUAUUUUCUUUUUUGUGUAAGCUAUUCUUUUAAAACUGUGGACACAAGCAGUAAAACUUAAAACUCAAACUAUUUUGAUUAGUUUUUUCCCCCUGAAGUAUGUGUGGGUGGUCUAAGUGUGUGCAGUACUUGUUUGCCAUUACUAUUUGAGAGCCAGUACAUCAGGAGUCAAGCAUAACAAUACAUACGCGUUUCAAAUCAAAAACUUUUGUAUCCUCUUCACACAUUUAUAGCAUUUCCACAGUCUCAACACUCAAACUCAUGACAGAUCUCACUCUGUCUCCGUCUGUGUCUCUCUCAGUCUCUUUUUCUCUCCUUCCCUGCGGAGGAGGCCUGCCACAUCUCUCUUCUCUCUUGUUCUUCACUGUUGUUCAUGGAUGUGGGGGCAGUACAGUAUCAGAUAACUUUAUCCUGGGCCAGUGCCAGUAUUUUGCGCAUGCAAACGCGCACACAUACACACCAGCUGUGUGGGUGACUCGGCUCCCAGGCAACGGCAGGAGGUCAGGUAGUCCUUUGCAUUGCAUGCUGGGAGUGUAGGAGUGUGGGGGUGUGUGACAAGUUAUUUCAGCUUUUGUUUAAAAACAUGUGCAACAGUUUUGCUAAAUGUCCAAAACAAGUCGCGCAGGAGUAGCUGUGGACUGUCGUCAAGUUGAGCACUUCAACUUUGUGUUGAGGCUCCUAACCGAAAGUUCUUUUUAUGUCGUCUUUUCACCAGGAUGAAGAAAAGACAAGAUGAAAGAGUGAUUCUUGUCCAAGUGCAUUCAGUUUGAAUCGCCUACUCUGUCAGAUGGCCUAAGUCCUUCAUGAAGUCUUUGUAAUAAUCCAUCACGCAGGACUAUCACGGUGAUAUAUGACUUCCAUUUCGUUCACACGAGGUUCAUAUGGCAUCGUCAGCUUUGCUUUUAAUUAUCGAAACCUCGCCUGAUCCCGCUGUUCACAUCUCCCUAAAUAUUGAUUUGUCUGUGGAGCACAGCUAAAUCAGUCAGCGCAUUCAAAGCAUUGAUUGUGGGUGGUAAAAAAAAUAGGACAAAAAAGGGAAAAAUUUUAAAGAAUUGUUUCCAUUACCAUGACAACCAUUCUCUACGAAAAUUUCUUUGGCUCUCAGGUCAGGUUUGGAUGGGGGUUCGGACGUCUUGUGAGAAACAGGUUGAUUUCGCUCAGCCUUGCCCAAAGCGAUUUCACACCUUUAAAUGCAAGGAUGCUGUAGCUUGAUUUUAAUUUCAUUAUAUUUAUAAAGAGCCUUUCAUCUUGCAUAUGUAGCCUUAGCGAAACAUCAGCUUUAAAAAAAAAAAAAAAAAAAGACCUUAUAUUAAAGGGUUAGUUCACCCAAAAAUGAAAAUUGUCAUUUAUUACUCACUCUCAUGUCGUUCUACACCAGUAAGACCUUUGUUCAUCUUCAGAACGCAAAUUAAGAUAUUUUUUUUAUGAAAUCUGAUGUCUCAGGGAGGCCUCUAUCUGACUCUAUAUAAAAAAAACUAAAUAACAGCUUUUCCAUAAUAUCUAGUGAUGGCCGAUUUCAAAACACUGCUUCGAAUCUUUUGUUUCGAAUCAGCGGUUCGGAUCGCGUGUCAAACUGCCAAACUGCUGAAAUCACGUGACUUUGGCGCUCCGAAUCACUGAUUCGAAGCAGUGUUUUGAAAUCGGCCAUCACUAGAUAUUGUAAAAGUAUUCUUGUUGCUUUAUAAUAUUAAGGUAGAACCACUGUACUCACAUGAACUGUUUUAAAUAUGUUUUUAGUACCUUUCUGGGCACUGAAAGUGUAAAUUAACUUGGUGGCAAUAGAGGCCUCACUGAGCCAUCGGAUUUCAUCAAAAAUAUCUCAGUUUGUGUUCCGAAGAUGAACGAAGGUCUUACAGGUGUAGAACGACAUGAGGGUGAGUAAUUAAUGACAUUAUUUUCAUUUUUGGGUGAACUAACCCUUUAACGGAGAGACUACAUGGAAUGUUUGUCACACCACAGGACAAUUAAAGUGCACAUUUAGGGGCACAAAUUUGAAUCAAAAAUUGUGAAUAACAGUCAACAUGGAAUUAAAAAUGAUUAGUGCACUUUAUAUAAAAGGGGACCUAUUAUGCCCCUUUUACAAGAUGUAAUAUAAGUCUCUGGUGUCCCCAGAAUGUGUCUGUGAAGUUUCAGCUCAAAAUUGUGUUUAAUUUAUUAUAGCUUGUCAAAUUUGCCCCUAUUUGGGUGUGAGCAAAAACACGCCGUUUUUGUGUGUGUCCCGUUAAAUGCAAAUGAGCUGCUGCUCCCAGCGCCUUUUCUAGAAGAGGGUGGAGCUUUAAUAGCUCUUGCUUCAGUUGCUCAACAACAACAAAGCUGGAGAAUAUCACGCAGCCAAAAUGAUGAUUGUCAGUAACGUGUUCAGCCUUACAUUGUUCAAACUGGAGUCGGACACUGAUGGAGAGACUCAGGAAGUUACAACUGGACGUUACUGAAUGGUUAGUGGAUUAAUUUAUGUAGUUGCUGUGGAGUUGAUUCAACUCAUCGACUAGCACGUGCCGUCAUGUUAAUCUUUUGUGCAAAUCCAGUGUUGAAAUGACCCUCGUUUGUGAAGCAGUCUGGUGUAAAAUGACGGCAUGGCAACAACACUGUACUACAACAACUCUUCCUCUUCUCUAAAGCAGCCCAACAUGGCCUCGCCCCCUUUGUUGUGUGUCCUCAGGGGUAGGGCUUACGUAAAUUUUAAGGUUUGUGAUGUCACCAACCCAGGAAGAAGCUCGUUGUAGUCCCUACCAGCCGUUUGUUGUAGUCCUUAAAAAAAAAACGAUUUCUGUAAAAGAACAUAUCUCCCUUUGCAUUGAACUUUAAGUGUCAUAACUUUGCAGAUGUUGUUUAUGCUCAAACAGCAACAUUACACACUAACUAAAGUUAAAAAAGUAAUCAAGGACCCCUUUAAAAAAAGCAUGUUUGUCUUCAUAAUCAUUCAUCAAAAUGUCCUUUCUAGAUGAUUUCACCUAGGCCAUGCAGAAUAUUAAGUAACUAUUAAGUAAUGUGACUAAUGCCACUUUUUAGAAAAAGCUUAGUGUUUCAGAUCCUAUAGAUGCUUUCAAUAGUGAACUUGAUCACCAGCUAUUAUGUCCUGAUCGAAAACUUUCCUUAAAACUGACUAUGGACUUGGCACUGCAAGCUUGGAUUCAGGUCUUUUUGUGUUGCACGUCUAAAUAUGUCACAUUACAGAAGUAAAAUGGGUUGCAAAUGUCUUUUGUUGUGAAGGGGGCCUUCUAAGGACGAUUUAAAAGUAUUACAACUAUAAAUUAUUACUAACCCCCCCCCAAUAACUAUUGUCUGUAUUGAAGAACAGAAUCAUGUAUGGAAUCAUGAAGUUUAAAUAAAAUGUGGUUAUUUUAAUAUAUCAACGCUCCUACUUUGUUGAUAAAAAGUUUGAAAAUAAGCAGCAUUUUCAUAAAUAAAGAAGAAAAACUAGAAAUAUAUGUCCUAUAUGCGGGACCUUUGAAUAUGGUGUUGGACAGUAUAAGACCUUUAAGUAGUCAAAAAGGCUGAAAACCACUGAUCUAAAAUAUUUUUUUCUCCUUCAUAAGUAUAAUUUUUAUCUUAAAUCAUAUAUUAUAUAAAAUCUGUUGUUAGAGCAAUUCUUAACUGAAAUAUCAGCUAGACGCAAACCACUUUAGCUUACAGUAAUGGCAACAGUACCAGAGCUCAGUACAGCUGAUUUUAAGUCCAUAAUAUGGUCACUUGAGGCCGUUGCUUCCUCAGCGCUUCUAGCGUCUGUCUGAGGGUUGCCAUGGCAACCGGGGCCCAAGAAUACCUCUAACUGCUCCUGACUGCCACCUUAUGGCUGGGCCAAACACCUUCAUUUACUAGAUUAAUCAUUGUGUGUUUAACAAAGGGAGCACAGUGUUACAGCAGCGGCUGUAGUUCAAGAGCGAGACAGUUCUACAAAGUGGCCAUUGUUAGAGAAGCCGCAGUUGGUUCAAGCAUCCAAAAAAAUAACAGAUGGAUUCAACUCUUUGAGCCUUGGGCAACAAACACGUCCUAUUAAGUUCGGUCCCUCUAUCACAAACACACACACAUACACAAAAAAAGCCUGCAGCUGUCCUACUCUCCCAAACUCCAUGUGUUGCUCUGGAUUCAUAUACUUGUUCUCUCUCUCUCUCUUUAGGCCUUCUGGAUAUGUCUCUGUCUUCACUGAGGGACUGGAAGUAGCAUGAAAGGAGAAGCUGUCUUGCGGUUCUUGAUGGCUGUACACUAAUUGCUGACCCUAACAGGUCCAAUUAGAAGCUACACGCGCCCCGCGCAGGCCCAGGGGACUACACAUCCCGGCAUGCCGAGCACUGACACUCUCAGAGUGACAUGAACAAGACAGCAACCAGACGUUCCCUCUUUCUUCUUUUUCCCACCAUGCUUUUCUCCAUCAUUUCUACAGAUUUCACGCCAGUGUCUCCUAGAGUUUCAGAGAUGAUCUCAUCAACUGUUGUAACUGCAAGAACCUAACAUGACAAGAAUGAGUGUAAAUAAGAGAGGAAAUUGUACCUUUCUGCUUCUCAGCUUCAGGUUCAGAACAGAUCUCUGUAAUGUCAUUUGGUAAAAGUUCAAAGGACGAGAGCGACCCACUAAACGUGUCUUUACACUGCUGAGCCCACACUUGUAAUUUUUGUCCCAGGUCCCAUGAAUUUAAGUGAUGGCCCUCUCUGUGAGACAAAUACAUGUACCUAAGAGAUUUUCAGGCAAGAGGAAGUUCACAGUCUCCAAGGCACCAGAUUACUCCAUUGAUCCGAACCCAAAAUGGCUCCAUGUCUGGCAUUUUCAGAGGCUGUUUCCAAGUCAAUGUCAUCCUAUCGGCCCCAUACUAAAAGAGACAAAUACGACUGAAAUAAGGUAAAGAUGGAGUGGUUGCCUUGCUGUUGUGCUGGUAUCAGACAUGGGCUCUUCAUCAGAUGACUAAUGGAGUUGUGCAGCUAACCAGGAGGCCCAAGGCUGUUUGUUAGCUCCUAACAAGGCCCGCCAUGCAGAAGUGGAUAAUGCAGUAGCUGUUUGGCUGGAGCUGUUGCAGGACACCUAUGUGAAGAGUGGUCAUUAGUGGCUCUCACCAGAGGCUGUGACAGCUGUCGCUUGUGGCUGCCGCUGGGCCCCAGUGCCUCCCCCUCGCCCGCUCACAAUGCUCCAGUAUGAACAUUUGUAGGCCCAGAUCAAAAAAAGAGUCCACUGAGACGCCAUCAAGAGAAACCUACAAGCUGCACACAUGUUUUUAUGAGAGAAAGAAAAAUCUUUG
Ctenopharyngodon idella (grass carp) is the source of this 5700-nucleotide long non-coding RNA. RefSeq lists it as uncharacterized. The transcript is spliced from 8 exons. The record is from RefSeq and is a predicted model, not a curated record. NCBI's taxonomy places the organism in Eukaryota, Metazoa, Chordata, Actinopteri, Cypriniformes, Xenocyprididae.